GCAUACUCCAUUACUAUGCUGAUCGAUAAAUCCCUGAGGUAGGUCUUAUAGAGGCUUGACGCCUCGAGAAGGUUGACCAAGUGGACUGUGGAGCCUAGAGAGUUCGAUAUUCACUAUUGACCCUGACCAUCCAUUAAGAUCCAAGUGCUAGCGGAUUUUCUUAUGGAAUGUAUCCUCCCAGAGGAGAUCAAGACUGCACCGGAGUCUUCUGAUUCUGCACCAAUGACCUGCUAGAUACUACAUGUUGACAAAUCAUCCAAUGCCAGAGAUGUUGGGGCUAGAAUGAUCCUCAUCAGUCCCGAUGGUACUGUGGC
This 314-nucleotide long non-coding RNA is filed under the name Elaeis guineensis (African oil palm). Its description in RNAcentral is "long non-coding RNA (EGUI_LNC028386)". The record is from RNAcentral. Lineage: Eukaryota; Viridiplantae; Streptophyta; Magnoliopsida; Arecales; Arecaceae.